Long non-coding RNA from Octopus sinensis (East Asian common octopus), 4068 nucleotides. RefSeq lists it as uncharacterized. The transcript has 2 exons. The record is from RefSeq and is a predicted model, not a curated record. Lineage: Eukaryota; Metazoa; Mollusca; Cephalopoda; Octopoda; Octopodidae.
CUUUCAUCCUUUCGGGGUCAAUAAAAUAAGUACCAGUUGAACACUGGGGUUGAUUUAAUCGACUUAUACUCUCCCCUGAAAUUGCUGGCCUUGUGCCAAAAUUUGAAGUUAUUACUAUUAUUGAAAGAAAUUGGGUCGGACUCGUUUGUCAGUAAUGACUUUCUUACAGAAGCACUUAUUUUUAAAUACAUUAAUGUGUUUGUUUGUUUGUGCAUGUGUGUGUGUAUGUUUAUAUACAUAUGUGUGAUAUAUGAUGUAUGUAUAUUUUAAUUAAUGUAUGAACAAAUGAAGCGCCUAGCUUACAAGUAUUCAGUCACCUUUGCUUUGGGAUAGGGUUAUCGAUGGAAUUUUUGAUAUUGUUGGCAUUGAUUUCAGUUAAGGAUAACAUAGCUGAGUUGUAAGAUGAUACCCUAAUUUUCUGGGGGCUUUUUUUUUUUUUUUUUAACUACAAAUGUCAGUCUUGCGAUAAUUUCUAGUCAUAGAUUAUUCGAAACAAAUAUCGCCGCAUUCUAACUUCAACAAUGUCAUUAGAACAUUUUUUUGUUUCCACCUCUACAAUUUUUGGUGGAAUGAUCAAAACUGUCCCAAAUGACUUCAUUCUUUUGAGUUGAGAUAUAAUUUAAUGACUAAUUGUUAUUUAUGUUUAUCCAAAAGAAAAUUCAAAUUUUUGUCCCAAAUUAUUUUGGUUAUUUUUAAGGAACAAACUAACAAUAUCUUGUGCUAUGAUUUUUUUUUUUUUUUUAAUUUAGUUCAUCUGAUACCUCAUGAGGGAUUAAUCAGUAUUAUACUGUACAAAAAUGACAUGCUUUUGGAGAAUAAUUCUAUUUUCCAUUUGAUAAAAAUGUAGCUUAUAAUUUUAAUUUAAGUUUAUGAAAUUUAAUUUUUCAUUAUAUUUUGCUAACGUUAGACAUAAACUUAAAACUAUUCAGAUCUUCCAUGGUGUUGAAUGAUAAAAAAAAUAUUGUCAGUCCUAAAUAAAAUGAAUUGAAAUUUGUUAUCAACCCUCACCCCCUGGGUUUUGCUUGUUUUUUUGUGUGUGUAUUAUUUGUUUGUGUCAAAACUAGCAAUCAAGCUACUUCAUGUUAUCUUCAAAAUUGCUGCCCUUCCUCUUUAUUCUUUCCAAUAUAAAUGGAUGCAAUUUUCUUUAAUCUUUUUGGUAUAAAUAAGUUUUCUUUUUUUUUCCGUUGAAUUUCUUAUGUGACAUGGCCAUGUGGUUCAGUCCCCACUGUGUGGCACCUGGAGCAAUUGUCUUCUAUAACCCUGGGCCAGCCAAAGCCUUCUGGAUGGAUCUGGCAGACAGAAACUGAAAGAUGGCUAUCGUGUGUGUGUCCACUCUUGUCGAGACAUCGUGUGACGGUCGUAAAUGAGCAUUAUCGUCAUACAAGUAAUAUUGUUUAUUUCUAGUCUUCUGAAAAAUGUCUGGCUAUGAAAAAUAUUACCUUGUUUGGAAAUGAGUGAGGAAUGGUGGCAGGAAGGGCAUCUGGCUGUAGAAAAUCAGCUUCAAGAAUUCCAUCUGGACCAUGGAAAAGUGGAGAUAAAAUGAGACGUGAAAUUUGAAAGUAGCACUAACUUUUUUUCAAAUCAUUUUUAAUAUCUUGCCAUAAAUAUACUUUCUGUCUAAAUUUUGCAGUAUUUUUCAUGUGCAGUUUCAGCCGUUAUGUGAUAAUUAGAUUGGUUUCUAACAAACAUCUGACUGAAUAGUAAUUAGAUCACUAUUCCUAACAAAUAUAUCAUUGGUUCUUAUAUGAUUACAGUGAAGAGCAGUAUCAUAACAAAUUAAAAUUCUAAAAGUUUUUGUUAACCACUCUUGGUCUCAUGUUCCCAACCAGCACCAAAUACACUGAGUUGUUCAAUUUAGACUGAAAUCUUACUGUACAAAUAAUUAGGCAAGAUUUCAGUAGGUAAAAGAAUUUGUAUUUUUAUGUGAGAAUAUUUUAUAUUUAAAAAAAAUAUAUUUCCAAACACCAUCUUAAUAUAUCAAUAAAAAAAAAAUUUAACAACUUAUUUUAUUGUUUUACUGAACUCCUCCAGAUUUUCAGUUUUUAAAAUUGAAUCAUGGUUUUCCCUUAAAACAUGGUUAUGAAAAGGACUUUUUGAACCAAUUUUUCCUGAAACAAAAUACUGGCAAUCUCCUUAUUUUUGUAUUUAACUUCAAAAUGAAGCUUAUUUGGUUAAGUAACUAGCUACAUUAACAAAUUUAGAAAAAAUCUAAAUGCAUCUGUAAAUUACUUAAAUUGAUAAUUUUGCAGAAUCUGUAUCAAAGCAUUCUUAUAAUAAAUGCAUCUUUUAUUGAUUGAGUUAAAAAUAAGUUACCCUCUUAUUUUCAAGAGGGUAACUUAUGGGCAAAAGUGUUUCAGCUGUAGUCAUCUUGUUUCAUGGCCAAUAUCGGUGACUGCUUUAUGAAUUAUCAACAUAGGGCAAGUUUCUUUAACUAGUUACAUUACUAAUGUUUUUAGAUACCCUCUCUAAUCUUACUUUUUAAUUGUUUUCAUUAAACUUUGAUUUAAUUUUUUUUUUUUUUAAUGCAUAAAUAUUUUGAUAAUCUCAGCUCUUAUUCAGAAUUGCUGGAAAUAUCAAUAUUUGGAUAAAUAUAGAACUUUUCACAAAUUCUGUUCAAAUUAAAAUCUAAUAUUGUAUUAAAAUAUAAAUCAUAAUGUAAAGCAAAAUACUUUUAAUUUAUUCAAAGUUAUAUUUUCUUUGACCUUUCUGUUGUCCUCAAAUUCUUUAAUUUUUAUUUAAAAAUUCCUUGAAGGAAGAAAUAACAUGGAUCUUCCAACAUCAUGCUUUAAGUUUCCAUGUACCAUAAUAAAAAAAUUUUUUCAAGAUAUGAAAACUCUUUUCAAUUGUAAGAUAUGUAUUUUUGUUUUUUUAAUAAAUUUUGUAGUCAUGAAAUUCCUAACAAUAUCCUGGAUUUAUGAGUGCUUUAAAGUUCCUAGAAAAGUUUUUUGAUAUCUUUGAAAAAUACCAAAAGUGGCUCAAUCCAGAUGCUUCAAUCAAACUACUGCACUAUUUUUGUUUGUUCCGUCAUUUAUUAAAUUCUCUUUAUUCCAUUCUGAUUUUACUGGAAUAAAUUUGAUAUAUAAUAAUUCUGCAAUAAAAGAAAGUUAAAUAAUCUUUUAAUUAGCUUCUAUUUUGUUGCUUUUCUUUGAUAUUCUGAUUUUUAAAAAAUAUUUAUUUAUUUUGUUGGAAUAAAAAAAAAAAAGAAUUGUUAUUUUUGUCCAUUCUGAAAUUUGCAAGAGAAGAAAUACCAUUCAAUGCCUGUUCUGUAUUUGGUAGCUAUUGAACCUCCUUCUCAUUUUUAAAUCAUUAAUCACAUUUGAUUUCCACGUGCUUUUUGUUUUAAAUCUGUUUUGGGGCUCAAACAGAAAAGCUUGACUUGAUUUUAGCUCCUUUGUAGGGCCUCAGUACUUUAUAAAUUAUACAGCAAUGCAUAUAGCUUACAGCUUUAGUUUGUAGGGUUAUCCUCUUCCAAAUUUUGCUAGUAUAUAUAUCUAUCGACAUAAUUAUACAGUCUCAUCUUUGAUAAAUAAGAAAAAAUGGUAGUCUCAGUUUUCAUAAGAUGGUACCUGUUUGAGAUGAUUCUUUUUUUCCCCUCCUCCAGAUUCAUAUCUUUUUACUUCAGUUGCACCACUAAAUCAACUUAAUAUUUAUUUAAUUUUGUCGAGAUUCUUUGCGAUAUAUUUUAGUUUCGGAUAUAAUUUUAUGAAAACUGUGUUUCAUAACUAUAUGCUCUUUAAAUUACCUAUCAUGUUCAACUAACAAACACCACUUUUGUGUUGUCUAUGAUUUAAAUAGCAAUCAGUAAAAGCGGAAUUAACCAAUCAGUAUUCUAUGAAUCAAAUUUAAAAUUUCUCUGUAAUAAAACCAGUCACAUCGAAAAAUGAAGAUAAUAAAAUUUAGUCUAAUUUCAAAUUUAAAUGUCGUAAUCUAUAAUUAGUGAAUCAAGAACAGGCCAUAUUGGAUGUCUUCCUCUCUAUUGACUGUGGCUUCACAGCACAUACAAUGCACAUUUCUUGCUGGGUUCUUGCCAUAGUUUUAUUGAAGUCUUACCAGCUACAUUUAACCCUU